CCUACGGGUGGCAGCAGUAGGGAAUAUUGCUCAAUGGGGGAAACCCUGACGCAGCAACGCCGCGUGGAGGAUGAAGGUUUUCGGAUUGUAAACUCCUUUUGUUAGAGAAGAUAAUGACGGUAUCCAACGAAUAAGCACCGGCUAACUCCGUGCCAGCAGCCGCGGUAAUACGGAGGGUGCAAGCGUUAUACGGAAUCACUGGGCGUAAAGAGCGCGUAGGCGGGAUGACAAGUCAGAUGUGAAAUCCUAUGGCUUAACCAUAGAACUGCAUUUGAAACUGUUGUUCUUGAGUAUGGGAGAGGUAGAUGGAAUUCUUGGUGUAGGGGUAAAAUCCGUAGAGAUCAAGAGGAACACCAAUGGCGAAGGCGACCUGCUAGAACAUAACUGACGCUGAUGCGCGAAAGCGUGGGGAGCAAACAGGAUUAGAUACCCGUGUAGUC
This 440-nucleotide ribosomal RNA is filed under the name uncultured bacterium. RNAcentral describes it as "partial 16S ribosomal RNA". It matches the Rfam family "Bacterial small subunit ribosomal RNA", at positions 338 to 795 of the family's 1533-position model. The record is from RNAcentral.